Long non-coding RNA from Pipra filicauda (Wire-tailed manakin), 8017 nucleotides. RefSeq lists it as uncharacterized. The record is from RefSeq and is a predicted model, not a curated record. The transcript is spliced from 5 exons. Lineage: Eukaryota; Metazoa; Chordata; Aves; Passeriformes; Pipridae.
UGACCCUGCAGGAGGGCACAAGCACUGGACCCUGGCCUGGAGAAGGAAUAAAGCUGCUCUCUUGUCUGCAAACCUGGAGUACCUUCUCAGCGUGCAGGUAUGGCUAUUCUGACCCUUGGGCUCCGUUCUAGUUAGACUAAAUGAGAACAUUUAUUAUACGUGAAAAUUGUUUGCCGAGGGAGUAGGAGAGGCCAAAAGAAAACAUUAUUAAUCCACUAAACAUUACCGUACUGCAGCCAAGUUUGUAACAAACACAACAGUAGGGAUCAUUGUUUGGUAUAAAUUGCCUUGUAAUCAUUUCCACAAGCUGAGGCUCAGUCCCAGCACGCCUGACACGCUUGCGGGGUGCAGGAAAUGCAGAUACAGUCUCCUGAAAUACAUGCCUGCCAUUUGCAUCUCCUGCCCUCACCACUGCUACUGCCACCCCAGAGCAAGGGCAGGACUGCUCAAAAAGCCGUGAUGAUUUUUCUGUAAACCCCUGUAUUCCUGAGGAUGCUUCUCUAACACUGGUAACUGUGGGUCAGUAGGGCAGUGGUUUGCUGUGUUGGAAAGUGCAAUUUUACACAGACUUAAUGCAAGAGGUCAACGGAUUUGACAUUGAAGAAAAGCUAAACAUAAAAAAAAAAAGUGAAGGCUUAAAUAUUUAAACUGUGUGAGGUUUAAUUCCAGCUGGGCAAUUACAAUAAACUGGAACACAGGCAGAGGCAUUGCAGCCUGAGCCCACUUCACAGAGCAGCCUUUGUGAUGGAAUUGCUUCUGGUGUCUCCACAAUGACUGAACAUACCCUGCUCUCUCAUUACGGGAGUGAUGAACAAUGUAGCUGCCCGCCAGCAAGUCAAAAGAAGCUUUGGGAAAAAUUUCUCUGAGUUUUCCCUUCUCCAAGGCAUGCUAACUUAGCCUGGUGCUUGGACUUGUCACAGGGGUCCGCAGGCAUCCUUCUGAACCAGAGCAAAGUCUGCUUCAAAGUGUCCAUGAUGGCACUUUAAAGUACAGCAGUCCUGCACAAAUUAGGUUUUGAUCAUUUGAUCAUCAGGAGGUUUUGAUCAUUUCACUGUCAGUAACACCCAAUAUUCCAGCUGUCCUUACAAACCACACACAGUGCUCCCCUCUCAGCACAUUUUGUGCAGUUUUCUGCUCUCAAAAAAACCCCCCCAAACCCGGGAAGUUUCCAGUAAACACAUCUAAUGUAAGCGCCUGCGUCAAACAGGGCUUCCUCAGCUUCCCUGCAGCAUGAAUGGAGAAGGUUAUUUUUACAAAGACAUAUGGGCCUCUCAUCCCUCUUUUGUUUAAAUGUACACAGUCCUGGCUUCUGACAGUAGUGAAAUGCUCAAUAACAUCAUUGUGAGAAACGUUUUUAAUGUAUCAAACCAUCCUUGGCAUUAUUAGCAUAGUCACAUAAUUAUCCAUGGAGAAACUUACACCCAUAUGUUAACGCCCAUAAAGUAUUGUGUGAAUCUCUUUUAUACCUUUAUUUUCAGUUUCUGGGAAAGAUACCUCACUGGGUACUUAAUAUAGCAAUUGCUUCAGAAGGUGUAAGCUGCCUAUGCCUGCGGUGAAAUGGUCAGGAGGCAGAGUAGUGCUGGCAGCGUCAUCUGAAAGCUCAGUAAGCCACAGUCUAACUGUGCUCAGAAUGUGAUGCAAGAAUAUGAUGCACCUCUUUAAUUUCACAAGAGAUUUCUUAAAAAGACAGGAAUUUAAAAACGAGAACGAACAGAAACUGAUGGUAGGCUAAGUGUGAAAAAACACCUUGUAGGGAACAAAUUCUUCAUAGUACAAGGCAGAGAGCCUGAUCUGAAAUUCCAAGCUGGGAUAGCAAUAUCAGUGUUUUCUAGAUAUCCUGAUACCCUGAGUAUCUUAGCCGUAUCUGACACUUUUGUAUUUAGACUGGAUAUACCAGAUUAAAGAUCUAAUCUGCUGAAUUUUCUCAUAAUCCUUACAAAUUUGGCAUGAAGGCAGUAAAAGAAGUUGUGUGUGAACCCAGAAACCGGUUGUAGCACUUUCAGAUCUUGGCCUCAGACAGCAUAAUCUAACUUUUUAAUGCAGACCCAUUGUAUGCUUAUCUUUAGGGUUUCUAAAUUAUUUAUCCCAGUAUUACAAAUAUGCUAUUCUAUGCAUAUGUGAUAUGUUCAUUUUACUAAAACUGUUAAAUACAAAACAUUAGGGCAUGAGAAAUAUAUCUCACUUUUUAUAAAUAGCUGUGUUACACUUUUACUCAAGUGAUUUUAGUAAAUCCUUUUGAUUUUAUUUUUUUCAUUUGCCUUUGCUUGACAUUUCUUCCCAAGGUGUCUGGUGACUAUUCUGAUUCUUCUGUAAGAGAGAUAAAAGUAAGGAACAUUCUUCCCCUCCUUUGAUCACUUUGCAGCUUGGGAACUGCAAACCCAUACUCAAAUAUUCAGAGCUUACAGGAGCAGAGCAUAAUAUUUAAUGUUGCAUGCUAGAGUAAAGGCAAUUGCUACAAAUGGUUCACUGUAGUACAGUAGUUCUAGCAUUGCCUAAUUUAUUAAUCAUAGAAAUGUUGCAUGCAAAUUAGCCACAGAGUUGUGCAUCAUAAUACAGUAAUCCAAAAAUCUGUCUUCACAUGUAUUAAUGCUCGUAAAUUAUGGAUAUCACACUACAGCAUUACACAGUUUCCCCAUUACAUUCCAAAACUUGCCGAAAGCUUACUAAAAGCCAUGUUACCGAGUGUUUUCUUUUUGUUCCUUACUUCUGGCUUUCUAAAGUGUGAGAGUAUUUAGCUGCAGGGCAUUUUUGUGUCUUCCUUUUCCCAGGGUUCCUUUUUGGGCUAACAUUCCGCCAGCCAAACAUCAAGAUUUCUCUUGCUAUAGUGCAGUUUAAAAACAUAUUUUGCUCUGGUAUGAGUGUGGUCAGCACCACUGUCCUCCCCUGCUCUGAAAGCUGCUCCAUUUCACGUCCUGACCUUGUAAAUCCUAGGCACUCUCCAAGGGAAAUCUGCAUCUUUUCCUCUCUUGCUUUCUUAAUGCUCCAAAUAUUUCUUUCAGGAAAGUCAAGGUGAGAAUAAAGGAACUGACAAUGUUGCAUGGAGUAUUUUGCAAAAAAAGACCAUGAAAGAAUUUCUGCACAGCAAAUAGGGAUAAUCUGUGCAGUUGUAUCCCCAGCCACUCACCAACUUGCCCUCCUCUUACUGUCAAAAGAUGAGAAGAAACAGAGAAAUGGGAGCAAAGAGAGUUUGCAGGAAAAAGGGAGAAGAAGGAAUAAGACAACUGAAGAUACAGUCUCCACAGGCUACACCGCGGAGAUAAAAAUGAAAGGCAUAAACUGAAGUGACUUAGCCAAGCAGUACAAAAACACAAACCAAACCAACACCCGAGAGGAAGUUGCUGCAUCUCUGUCACCAAACUACAAGAGGUGAGGCAAAAACUUUAAUAAAGGAAUAGGUCUGCUGCAACAAAGGAAAUAACAGCAAAAACAGAGACAAGGACACAUCCUAACCCCACUAAUAUCAGCAGGAAUUUGCCUUCAUCUUCAGUGGGAACAGAACUUCAAAGACAUGGGAAUCACCUAUAAAACCUGAAGGAUUUUCUAAGCUUGAGAGACCAGUUUUCAAAAGCUCUUUAGCAAAGUUAUUAUGUUGCAAGCAUUACUCCGACAGAAGAAACUGUAAAAGGAUGAUCAGAAAUAGUCAGGAUGUAUUUAAAACUCUUCUGGUUCAAUAAGAAAGCAGAGCUUGAAGCCUAACUCUCUCCUGCCAAAGGUAACCAUGCCAUACCUUCUCUUUCAUAAAUAAUCCCACACAAAUUUAGGAAAUGAAGUAUUUUCCCAAACAGGAGAAAAAUAUGAUCAAUUUGGAAAUAUAGACAAAUAUUUUAGCUAAUCAAUUUAGCUAAUUCUUCCCUGUCAAUUUGUACAGUUACUUUUACUGAAAUGGUGCUUUUGAUUCUGUCCUCUGUCUCCUACUACAGGGAACAAAGAUUGUCUUCAGCAUCACUCUGUGUUGGGUAAAGCACCAAACUGGUUGAACCAUGCAGACCAAGCAAAAGAGAUCCUGUGAUAAAAGGUCUAACUUAAGAGCAGAUUUCACUAUGAGUUUAAUUUCUUUGUUCAGUCAAACCCUGUGCACCAGACAGGAUUGGCUCUGACAAGCUUCUACAGAAAAAUGAUCCCAAAGAGACUGAAAUCUAGGCCACAGCUACGAAUAAUUCUUCGGAAGCUCUCUGGAUUUCCUGGAGGGCAAGGUGUGGCUCUGUGUGUGGGAGGUAAACGCUAGUGUUCUUCUGUUAGUAGUAAUUAGGUGCAGCUUGAGUUUCAUUAAUAAGAGCUACAUAUGCAUGCUGGAAAAAAAGUUUAUCUGACACUGGGAUUAUAUGUUACUAGCUAAAUGCCUUACGUUGUGUGUUAUCUUUGUUAUUUUGUGAUUAGCACUUAAAAAUGUCCAUAAUAUUUUAUCAGCACAUAAGAAAAAAAGUUCUGUUACUGAGAGUUUAUAAUAUAAAAGAGAAAGAAAUCUCCUGGUAAAUCUCCAAGUUAUCCUACCAGUCUGUCUAACAUUUUAGAACCACUUCUUGCGUUAGCAUUUGUUUUUAUUAGCUUUAGUCAUUUUGCUUUUGAUGUUGUUUAUAAUUACUGCCAAAUGCAAAAAUAGUCUUUCCAGAAAUUUACCAUGAACACCCAGCACUGAAAUACCAGUCUUAAAGAUUUGAUAAACCAGUAAAGAAACAGAAUCUUAUUGGGGAAAAGGGCUGGGUAGCCUUAAAUAGAAGAGAUUCUGCAAUUCUAGUGACUAUUCAUCAAAAUCUAGUGAUGCAAACAGGAAAAAAACCAAACCUGUAAUGUAGCUAAAAAUGCCUGUUAAAUUAUUUUAAAAGUCCAUUCGUUGCAAUGUUCAAUCCCAUACCAUCUGAAUAUUAUGGCAGCUAUUCUAAAAUUCUUAUAAAACACUUGAAAGGGUUUUUUACUCCAUUUUGAGGUUUCAUAGCAUCACAGGUUUUCAGGCCAGAAGAAAGCACCAUGAGUCUCCAGCCUGACCUUUUGCAGGGUACAGGUGGCAAUUAGAUCAAGUGAUAUAUACAGCAUUUCUGGUGGAGAUAGAACACUUCCUUUGGAAAAACAAUCCACCUUCUUGAUUUAAAGAUUUCAAGUGGCAAGAAAUACUUCCCAGGCCUAUCGAUUUAUUUUUUUUCCAUGGCUUAGUUAGUCCAAGGGGUUCUCUCUAUGUUUUGGUUUUGUUUUGUAAUCAAAAAAUGGCUCAGCUUUCAAACACUACAUCUUUUAAAAGAUUAGUCUUCUCAACUGAAGAUUUCUAUGAUUAUUCUCUUUAUUUAUGUAAUUCAAGAUGAGUUAGUGCUUAUGUAAUUCAUUGAUGGGCUCGAGAUUAAGGUUUUGAAGCGCCUGUAAGAAGGGUUUCUAGAUCACAAAGCAACCAUAGACUGGUUAACCAGGUUCUCAGUUUUUGUCUCGGUAUCAGGACAUGCUGCUCCACCAGCCAACCCCUACUGCUACAGUGCUCUCCACGUGGAUCCACACGGAUGGCAUUGCUGUGUGUUCUUACUUGCUUUUCUGUAGUGCUGCUUUUCAUAGUGCAGCCCUCCAUCAAAUAGCUAAACUAUGGUUUUCUUUCCUAGCAAUAUUAGCCUGCACUUAGCUAUACUAAAAUACACAUUGUUCAAGGUAGCUCACCUUUCCAAAGAUGUACUAGUACUGUGGACUAAUUCCUUAUCACUGAAAUGUGUUAAAAUAUUUAAGCAAUAUAUUUUGCUUAUUCUUGAUAACAUAUAUGUUGAUACCACGAAGUUAAGAGUGAUCUGCAAGGGGAACAACAGUUUCACUUGACACCUUUUACUUUGUAACAAAAUAGUUAUACUUUUUUAGUACCUUUAGUAGCACAGGCAAAUUGUGUUGCAUUAAUUUUGAUCAAGGAGAAAAUUCUUAUAUAUUUGGGGGCAACCUGCAUGCAGAAAAAGAAACAAAAUUAUUUGCUAUACCAAGUUCUAUUUAUUUCAGCAAAAUUAUUCCACUACUGUACAAAUAUGUCCUAAUGUAACGUAACAGAAAUUUAAUAAAUAAAAUGAAAACACAAAGUAGCAUAUUCUGAAAAAUAUCUGGCUAGAAAUGAGUCAUAUUCUAAUCUUGGAUAAACUCCCUCUUUCUCCCUACGUGAAGGAAUGUUUUACUAAGGCUGCUCAAGCUAUUUUUUAUCACCAUCAGCAGAGAGAUACAAGCACCACUUCCUACAAAGAGAACCACACCCCUCAAGAAACACAAAGUUUUUCUGCAUACCCAAAUAAUUGAUGAAAUGUUGCCAUUGUCCCUUUUACAGGACAGUUCUUUGGAAAAGGACAGUGAUCUCAGAAGCAGCACAAGGAAUUCAGCAAAAUACCAGGCUGGAAACAGUAGAUGCUUCUUCAGUACUUUGCCAUGGGUAGCUAUUGGAUAAACUUCUGAGAAAGUGUAAUGUAUCAAAUUACAAUUUUGUUGUUCAUAGAAUUUCUAUUUGGGGAAGUAUUCCUGUUUUCUGCAUUAGGCACUUGAAACUCCAGCAACCUCCAUUACAUUUUUUUCCCCAGCUAAUAUACAAUUAAUGCAUUAUCUAGUAGUUAUAAUCUACUAACUAACCAGAAGUGCUGACAGACUUAUAGUAAAUCAAACACCCAGUAUUAACAAGGCUGAUCUGGUUAUCAGUUUAAGAUAAUGGCCAGCUGUGCCAUCUUGCUAAAUCCUGUGGGAAGAAGUUAUUGUAAUGUCGGUUAUAACUACAUGGUUACUACUGUGUUGACAUCCGUACAUAAAGCAACUGUGAAAUAAUUUUUUAAACUCUAACGAGUUUAAAACUCAACAGUCAUAUGUAGCAGACUAGGGAAUUUCCAUAAUUUUUAAAUAAUACAUUUGCAAGGUUUUUUUGCAAGAAUACCGUGUAAAAUGCCUUCUUUUUUGAAAUGCUCUCCUUUGCUUCAUUUUUCCUGAGAUUAUUUAAGUCUUACUCUGUCGGGCUUCCAAAAGCUUAGCUUCUUUUUCUUUCUCACAUGCACAUAGACACACGUUCUGAGAUGUUUGACACAGACAUUUGAAUGCAUCACUGAUUACUGCUCUUUGCAUGGUACAGCAAGAGGGUACACCAGGCUGAACUGCUGCACCUUCAAGAAGGGCAGGAUGAGAGACCCAGAGAACUGCAGGUCUGCCAGCCUCACCCCUUUCCCCAGGAUGACUCUGGAGCAAAUACUCCUGGAAGAUAUUUCCUAGCACCUGAGAUACACAAAGGUGAUUGAGAACAGACGGUGUAAUGUGGCUUUACCAAGGGCAAACCUUUGAUGGGAAGACUGGCUCAACAGAGGAGGAAGAGCAGUGCUUGCUAUUUACCUUGACUUUAGGGAGGCCUUCAACAUGGACUCCUACAGUGCCCUUACAGUCAAUUUGGAGAAAUAUGCAGUGGAAAAAUGUACAAGGUAGAUGGAUGGGCUGUGCAGUAAAAUGGGUGUUGAUCAGCAGUUCUGAGUUCACACAAAAAGGUGGCUGGUUACUACUGGUGUUCCUCAGGGACCCAUACAGAGGCCAAAACUCUUACUGCCCUUAUUAAUGGCCUAGACAAGGUAACAGAGUGCACUCUCAGCACAUUUAGGAAUGAUACCUUUGGGGGACAUGGAUGUCAAUAAUCUGGAAGAUAAAACUGCCAUUCAGAGGGGCCUUUGUUGUUUUUUUAACAUUGUUUUGUUUCUUAAGCCUAGGACUUUUUACACAAAAGCAUGAAGAUUGUAAAGAAAUUCUCUAAAGCAAAAGCAUUACAGAAUGAAAACUAAGAGAAUUUCAUUUGGUCCUUAUUCAGCCAUAGCAAAAUUAACUUUUUUGGACACUCAGUCCGCAUUUCUCAUUUGCUGGGUUGUGAACUUGAGACGUGGAAUCUGGUAUCUAGAAUGAUCCUGAGCAUGGUGACAUUAAUUGUGAACCUAAUUGAAUAUAGUUGUGGUUUAAAUGCAUAGUGCUAAAUAUUCACCAAAUAACCUCUGGGUAUCUUACACUGGGCAUUCUAAAUUCAUAGAUAUGUUUAAUAAAUUUUGUUUUGACAAAA